This 246-nucleotide long non-coding RNA is filed under the name Lepisosteus oculatus (spotted gar). Its description in RNAcentral is "lncRNA (ENSLOCG00000021406.1)". Lineage: Eukaryota; Metazoa; Chordata; Actinopteri; Semionotiformes; Lepisosteidae. The record is from RNAcentral.
UUCCCUUUGAAAGUGAAGCUGCCUGUGGAGGCACUGGGAUCCAAAGAAGACUGCAGAAAUUGAGUGUCUGUGCCAAAAAAGUAUAGGAAAUGAUGACUUCAUUAAAAAACAAAAUAAUCAGUCUUUCACAGUGUUUCGCUGUCGAGUUGAUCAGUUCCCAGAGACUAAACUGCUGUCUCCACCUGUUUCUUCUUUAAGACUCGGCUUCUCUUUAAGAGCUCCCUCAUUCUGUCAUCUGACGCUUUG